CCUACGGGAGGCAGCAGUGAGGAAUAUUGGUCAAUGGCCGCGAGCCUGAACCAGCCAAGUAGCGUGAAGGAUGACGGCCCUACGGGUUGUAAACUUCUUUUAUCGGGGAAUAAAGUGAGUCACGUGUGACUUUUUGUGAGUACCUUAUGAAUAAGGAUCGGCUAACUCCGUGCCAGCAGCCGCGGUAAUACGGAGGAUUCGAGCGUUAUCCGGAUUUAUUGGGUUUAAAGGGUGCGCAGGUGGGUGGUGAAGUCAGGCGUGAAAGUUGGGGGGUCAACCCCCGAAUUGCAAUUGAAACUGCAUGCCUUGAGUGCGGGUGAUGUAGGCGGAAUGCGUGGUGUAGCGGUGAAAUGCAUAGAUAUCACGCAGAACUCCGAUUGCGAAGGCAGCAUACC
RNAcentral lists this ribosomal RNA (395 nucleotides) under uncultured bacterium. RNAcentral's name for it is "partial 16S ribosomal RNA". It matches the Rfam family "Bacterial small subunit ribosomal RNA", at positions 338 to 730 of the family's 1533-position model. The record is from RNAcentral.